GUGGCUUGCUUCAGCACUACGUCUAUUACGUUGGAAAGAUAGAGAUUAGCCUGGCCCCUGUGCAAGGAUGACAUGAAAAUUCGUAAAGCAGCCCAUAUUUUC
This is a small nuclear RNA of Callithrix jacchus (white-tufted-ear marmoset), 102 nucleotides long. The record is from Ensembl. NCBI's taxonomy places the organism in Eukaryota, Metazoa, Chordata, Mammalia, Primates, Cebidae.